RNAcentral lists this ribosomal RNA (230 nucleotides) under uncultured bacterium. RNAcentral's name for it is "partial 16S ribosomal RNA". It matches the Rfam family "Bacterial small subunit ribosomal RNA", at positions 560 to 791 of the family's 1533-position model. The record is from RNAcentral.
GUAAAGCGUGCGCAGGCGGUUUGUAAGACUGUCGUGAAAUCCCCGGGCUCAACCUGGGAAUGGCGAUGGUGACUGCAAGGCUAGAGUUUGGCAGAGGGGGUAGAAUUCCACGUGUAGCAGUGAAAUGCGUAGAUAUGUGGAGGAACACCGAUGGCGAAGGCAGCCCCCUGGGUCAAAACUGACGCUCAUGCACGAAAGCGUGGGGAGCAAACAGGAUUAGAUACCCUAGU